AAUACUCCGCCGGCGACCGGCGCACGGGUGCGUAACGCGUAUGCAACCUACCUUUAACAGGGGCAUAACACUGAGAAAUUGGUACUAAUUCCCCAUAACAUUCGAGAAGGCAUCUUCUUGGGUUAAAAACCCCGGUGGUUAAAGAUGGGCAUGCGUUGUAUUAGCUAGUUGGUGAGGUAACGGCUCACCAAGGCAACGAUACAUAGGGGGACUGAGAGGUUAACCCCCCACAUUGGUACUGAGACACGGACCAA
This 254-nucleotide ribosomal RNA is filed under the name uncultured bacterium. RNAcentral describes it as "partial 16S ribosomal RNA". It matches the Rfam family "Bacterial small subunit ribosomal RNA", at positions 79 to 334 of the family's 1533-position model. The record is from RNAcentral.